This 208-nucleotide ribosomal RNA is filed under the name Xylariaceae sp. Its description in RNAcentral is "partial large subunit ribosomal RNA". Lineage: Eukaryota; Fungi; Ascomycota; Sordariomycetes; Xylariales; Xylariaceae. The record is from RNAcentral.
AAGCGUUUACGACCAGACUUUUUCCUGGCGGAUCAUGCGGUGUUCUCACCGCUGCACUUCGCCAGGUCAAGGCCAGCAUCGGUUUCCGCAGGGGGAUAAAAACGUAGGGAACGUAGCUCCUCGGAGUGUUAUAGCCCUUCGUAUAAUACCCUUGCGGGGACCGAGGACCGCGCUACGGCAAGGAUGCUGGCGUAAUGGUCGUCAACGA